AGGCGGCUGAGCGGCGCGACUCUCAACCUGACGGGGAAGUGGUCCGGGCGGCCGCGGCUGACUACCCCAGGGCGAACGGACGGACGACGGAGGCGGGAGCCGGGAGCCGAGCCGGGCGACCUAGAGGGCGAGCGGGUCAGGCUCAGCGUCGGCCACUCUGUCGGUCCGCUGAAUGAAGUGCCCGCCCCUCUGAGCCCGGAGCCCGGCGCUUUCCCCGCAAGAUGGACGGUUUCGCCGGCAGUCUCGUGAAGAUUGGUAAUUGAGAGUCCUGAAAAUGGCAGUAUUUGGAUAUGAGUACACUACAGUAUUGACACUCUGAAAGUUGGACAUCAGUAUGCGAGAGCCUACUUUGUGAUAGCAGCUCACACUUUCUAUUUCAUCUCUUCUUUGGUGGACAGAUGAUAGUAUUUCUGCUGCAAGUACUUCUGAUGUUCAAGAUCGCCUGUCAGCUCUUGAGUCACGAGUUCAGCAACAAGAAGAUGAAAUCACUGUGCUAAAGGCAGCUUUGGCUGAUGUUUUGAGGCGUCUUGCAAUCUCUGAAGAUCAUGUGGCCUCAGUGAAAAAAUCAGUCUCAAGUAAAGG
RNAcentral lists this small RNA (582 nucleotides) under Pongo abelii (Sumatran orangutan). Its description in RNAcentral is "processed transcript". The record is from RNAcentral. Lineage: Eukaryota; Metazoa; Chordata; Mammalia; Primates; Hominidae.